AAAAUACUAAUUUCAGCCUCCAACGAACUACCGAAAGGCCCGAUCCAAAAAUAGAGCGACCAUCAUCGCGAUCGAUAAAUCGAGCACGAGCUAGUGUUUCGUACGGACAACAUGGGCUCCACCACUUCUUUCUUGCUCCUCUCCGUCCUCUGCCCGCACCCGCAGGACCAAGCCUGUCGCCGACCGCUCCUCCCACCAGCGCUGCCCCUUCCUCCCACCAGCAGUGCCUCCUCCUCUACUCCUCCCACCAGCGUCGACGAGGAGGAGGGAGAAGGAGCUCUCGGCCGACGGCGGGGAGGGAGAAGGAGCUCCUCCACCCGUCCAGUGCCGCCGUCACCCCUUUCUCCAGCGCCGCCACCCGUCCAGCGCCACCGCCGCCCCUUCCUCCAGCGCCGCCGUACCUCUUUCCACUGCCGUCCAGCGCCGCCACCGAUUUUCGAUCGUCUAUUGGAGAACGACGUUCUUCGAUCCUCAUUCGGCAACCCCGAUACGACCGAUUUCAAGAAUAGGUCUCCAAUUUCGGUCUCCACUGUUGGAGACACCCUUAUGGCUCGGGGAAUAGCUCGCCCCUGGGAGCUACUGGCCCCACCUGUCAUUCAGCAAAGGUCUAAAAUACAUGCACACAUUUUUGAGCGCCGACAUGUGGGUCCCCAGUUACUGCGCGUGAAUUCCACGCCCUCACGUUUGCCCUACCUCGCCCUCCCGAUCGCGUCUCCUGCGGCGCCGCCGCCCGCCGCCCAUGCCCCGCUCUCCUCUCCUCCUGCCUCCUUGCCCCUCACCACCGUCGCUUCAGCACGACCCGCUCUCUACGCCGCUUUUCUCUAGAUGAAAUCCGUGUCCCCUCCUCCCCCACCAUGGCCGCCGCCUCGCUCCUUCUCCCCGCCGACCCACGGCUGCAGCAACGCUCUUCGAGGGCACCCCAUGGUGCUUGAGAUCCGCCUUCUCACCGCAAGUGCCUGUGUGAACAGCACCGCGCGACUUUUACCCCGACGUCACCGCCUUGGUACCGCACGUCCUUUUCGGGGAGCACGGCGAGAAGCUCGACCACCACAGGGCUGUUGCAGGGAAGUGCGGUCGUCGACGCGUCGAGCGCUGUGCAGAUCUACGUGCACGUCCCAUCGUCGUCGCCGACCCUCGCAGCAGAUCGCCUCCGCCAGAUCUGAGCCCACUUCCCCACGAUGAAAUCUACAGCAAUAAUCAACCCGCUCGGUGACAUAGAUGGUGAGGGUGACUUCGUUUGGUAAUCAUUUCCCAUCCCUUAAGAAUCAGUAAUUCGCGUUUCUUGCAUGUUCUCCACACCGGAUCCGAACCCGAUGUCCCCCACUCCGAUAGCCUGUUGUUCAAACUUUUUUAUUUUGGACGGGACUAUGGAUCAGAUUUACUUUUUGAAGUUAGAUUAGGUGAGUGUUAGUUUUUGAAGCUGAAUUCGAAGCUUAUUUCCACCUUUUUUUCAUUAUCAUACCAAGUGAUUAGAGUUAGUAAUCAUAUUGUGUGCCAUGGACGGUUAAAACACGCCCAUGCUGAAUUCAUUUGCGCAGGAAUGUAUACUGGUGUUCAGGAUGCACAUAACUUGGCUUGGAAAUUGCACUCACUUCUGAAUGGUGCUGCUUCACCAUCAAUAGUGUGGACUUAUGAGUCAUCACCACUAUUUUGUGUUUAUGCUUCUUGCCAUCUUCAGUUUCUUAUUAAGGGGCAUCGCUCUUGGGUUUCGAAUAUAUAUUGUCACUUCUGUUUGACUGCUAUGAGGAAUCUACAGUCAGGUUCAAAUAGGUGGCAACGAGGUGGAGGUCCAGAAAGGUAUGACUCCUGUCAAACAUGCACUUUAAAUCCAUCUAAAUUAACUCCAAAUGCAUUUAUUUGGAUGUUGUUUGACUUUUUGUUUAACCUUGCUCAAUCUCUCUUUUUUCCCCUUCUGUUCUAACCGUGGUUUACCCUCCAUAUUCAAACGAGGAAUUGUGAUUUGGACUCAUGAAGAUGCAGGAGGUCAAAUAACUCGAGUUGAUGGUUCAAAUGUUGAUAGAUUGUAGUAUGCUCCAUUUGUCUCCGGACACAGGUCCUUCCAAUUUCCUUGAUUCGUCAUCCACUCAAGUUCAGCGACCACUUGCAUCUCAGCUCAUCCACGUGGGAACAUACUAAGUUGUGUUUCCUAUGCAGGAAUACUUGAUUCUGCAUUUGUGCUGUCACAAGAACGAGAACAAACAUAUAAAACCAGCAGGAUGGAAUACGAACUCUUGAAGAGUGUUAAUUCCCAAUCACACCAGUGGGCCAUCAAAGCUUUCAUAGUCAGGAUCUGUGAGCAAUUAGGCAAUGAAAACCCGCCUAAGUUUCAAUGGAUUGACCUGAUCCCGAUGAGGAGGGCACUGCAAUAGAGGCCAGAUCUCGUGGAACUGGGUUCUCCAAGACCAAAAUAAAGGAAGACCAUGUAUACUACAUAAAAUUCUUUCAGGUCAGAGACUACUGAGGUGCUUAUCGUUCAGUGCCUCAUUCUUACAUGAUGCGUUUCACGUCACACAUAAAGAUUCAAGAGGCGCAAUCUGUCCGGAAUCCUUUCCAAAAUAUGCACAAAUUGUUGUCCCCUUUGAGAACAGUUCCAGAUUUGGGAAAAAUGAAUACCUCUCAGAUGCUCUUGGUAUUUUCACUGGAUGCACACAUGUUAAGCUACAGAAGAUAGCAAAUGGAACAAAGCCACUACAAAACAUUUUUUAUUACUGAUGGCCAAGAAACAGCGUCAGUCUCUAUGGCGACCACAUGCUGAAUAUUUUGAGGAUGAAACUUGCCGCCGAACAGCCUUUAGCCAUGCUCUUCUGUGCAAUGACAUGUCACAUUUAUGAUGGUAAUUGGCUCUUAAAGCUGCUCCAAAAUAGAGCUUGACUGUUGUUCCAAGGGCUUCCAGGUUGCUGCCGAUCCAGGUGUCAAUUUUGUAUGGAACAUGACCUUUGAACUACCUAAUCAAAUGGUUUUUGUGUACUCUGCACAAGCACCUGAGUCAUGGAACCUUUUGUGCUUAGCUGUUGGGUGAAUAGCAUUUUUAGGUUUUAGCAUUGUGUGAUUCACUUGACUACAGAUAAAUGGCUAAAAUGUCUAGCUGUAUGUUUUGGGUAUCCAAGUCAAUAUCGACUUUCAUUUUUUAAGGCUAUGAUUAUUAUAUGAUUC
This is a long non-coding RNA of Panicum hallii, 3153 nucleotides long. RefSeq lists it as uncharacterized. The transcript has 10 exons. NCBI's taxonomy places the organism in Eukaryota, Viridiplantae, Streptophyta, Magnoliopsida, Poales, Poaceae. The record is from RefSeq and is a predicted model, not a curated record.